Mus musculus (house mouse) is the source of this 678-nucleotide long non-coding RNA. RefSeq annotates it as predicted gene, 32876. NCBI's taxonomy places the organism in Eukaryota, Metazoa, Chordata, Mammalia, Rodentia, Muridae. The record is from RefSeq and is a predicted model, not a curated record. The transcript is spliced from 4 exons.
CUCCUUUGAUCUAUUGUCACGAGCCUUUCGCUGGAAUUUGCUCCAAAAGAGACAUUUUUAUUUGCUUUUGUUUCCCUUUAAAUAAGGUUAUAGCAUUUUUUUGGGUCCCCUAAAUGAAGACCAGAAGCCCCCACACAAGAUGAAGGAAAGAAAAGGGGUGAUCUCUAGCAAGCCCUUCCCCUGAUGCUUUGGAGAGACAUUGGGACCGAACCACCAUUUGCACACAAGACUAGAAAUUAGUAGUUGUGGAUAACGAUUUGCAAGCAGAACUGGGCCUUGUCACCCCUGCCUCCCACUCUGAAAAGGGCCGAGCAGUGUCUUCCUGUGCAGACCCAAGAAGGCCUCAGGGAGGUGAUGUGUGUCUGCUGUCACCAGAAAGUCUAUUUGAAUGGGGAGAAUCCUUCAUCUUUUGAAGAGGAUGGUAUCCCCUCUCCUCCUCGGUUCCUUUUUGAUCCAUGCACUGAGAAUGUCCUAGAGGCUCUAGGUGUGGCUAUGGUUGAGAAAAAGGAUGUGGAACUGAAUUUCUCAGUAGAUCUUGCAUGUACAGACUCUGCGGCAACCUGGGCAUCUCUGGCGUGGAAUGGGACAGGCUCGGAUGCGUUGAUUUGUAUCUAGAUUUCUGAGCACAAAUACAUUCCGCUGAACAUUUUGGGGUUAAUGAUGACAGAAGCCGAGAAA